AUUGAACGCUGGCGGCAGGCCUAACACAUGCAAGUCGAACGAGUGGCGGACGGGUGAGUAAUGUCUGGGAAACUGCCUGAUGGAGGGGGAUAACUACUGGUAACGGUAGCUAAUACCGCAUCCCAUCAGAUGUGCCCAGGUGGGAUUAGCUAGUUGGUGGGGUAAAGGCUCACCAAGGCCACGAUCCCUAGCUGUUCUGAGAGGAUGACCAGCCACACUGGAACGUAGACACGAUCCAGACUCAUACGGGAGGCAGCAGUGGGGAAUAUUGCACAAUGGGCGCAAGCCUGAUGCAGCCAUGCCGCGUGUAUGAAGAAGGCCUUCGGGUUGUAAAGUACUUUCAGCGGGGAGGCGUUACCCGCAGAAGAAGCACCGGCUAACUCCGUGCCAGCCGCCGAGGUAAUAC
This 406-nucleotide ribosomal RNA is filed under the name uncultured bacterium. RNAcentral's name for it is "partial 16S ribosomal RNA". It matches the Rfam family "Bacterial small subunit ribosomal RNA", at positions 30 to 526 of the family's 1533-position model. The record is from RNAcentral.